CCUACGGGGGGCUGCAGUAGGGAAUCUUCCGCAAUGGACGAAAGUCUGACGGAGCAACGCCGCGUGAGUGAAGAAGGUUUUCGGAUCGUAAAACUCUGUUGUUAAAGAAGAACAAGGAUGAGAGUAACUGCUCAUCCCCUGACGGUAUUUAACCAGAAAGCCACGGCUAACUACGUGCCAGCAGCCGCGGUAAUACGUAGGUGGCAAGCGGUGUCCGAAUCUAUCGGGCGUAAAGCGAGCGCAGGCGGUUGAAAGCCCCCGGCUCAACCGGGGAGGGUCAUUGGAAACUGGAGAACUUGAGUGCAGAAGAGGAGAGUGGAAUUCCACGUGUAGCGGUGAAAUGCGUAGAUAUGUGGAGGAACACCAGUGGCGAAGGCGACUCUCUGGUCUGUAACUGACGCUGAGGCUCGAAAGCGUGGGGAGCAAACAGGAUUAGAUACCCUUGUAGUC
This 450-nucleotide ribosomal RNA is filed under the name uncultured bacterium. RNAcentral's name for it is "partial 16S ribosomal RNA". It matches the Rfam family "Bacterial small subunit ribosomal RNA", at positions 338 to 795 of the family's 1533-position model. The record is from RNAcentral.